AGGAAAAGAAACCAACAGGGAUUGCCUCAGUAACGGCGAGUGAAGCGGCAACAGCUCAAAUUUGAAAUCUGGCUCCUUCGGGGUCCGAGUUGUAAUUUGCAGAGGAUGCGUCGGGUACGGGUCCCUACCGAGUUCCCUGGAACGGGACGCCAUAGAGGGUGAGAGCCCCGUCUGGUAGGAUACCCAGCCCAUGUGACGCUCCCUCGACGAGUCGAGUAGUUUGGGAAUGCUGCUCUAACGGGAGGUAUACUCCUUCCAAAGCUAAAUACCGGCUGGAGACCGAUAGCGCACAAGUAGAGUGAUCGAAAGAUGAAAAGCACUUUGAAAAGAGAGUCAAACAGCACGUGAAAUUGUUAAAAGGGAAGCACUCGCUACCAGACUUGGGUUUGGCGGUUCAACCGGGGCCACGCCCCGGGGCAUUCCGCCAGCUCAGGCCAGCAUCAGCUUUCCGUCGGGGGCAAAGACGUCGGGAAUGUGGCUCCCCCUCGGGGGAGUGUUAUAGCCCGGCGUGUCAUACCCUUCGGGGGGCUGAGGUACGCGCUUCUGCAAGGAUGCUGGCGUAAUGGUAGCUAGUGACCCGUCU
This 583-nucleotide ribosomal RNA is filed under the name Plectosphaerella cucumerina. RNAcentral's name for it is "LSU rRNA". It matches the Rfam family "Eukaryotic large subunit ribosomal RNA", at positions 54 to 654 of the family's 3401-position model. The record is from RNAcentral. Lineage: Eukaryota; Fungi; Ascomycota; Sordariomycetes; Glomerellales; Plectosphaerellaceae.